GACGUAGGGUGCAAGCGUUGUCCGGAUUUACUGGGCGUAAAGAGCGCGUAGGCGGCUCGUUAAGUGAGAAGUGAAAGCUCUUGGCUCAACCAAGAAACCGCUUUUCAUGCUGGCGAGCUAGAGUGAUGCAGAGGUGGAUAGAAUUCCCGGUGUAGCGGUGAAAUGCGUUGAUAUCGGGAGGAAUACCCGUGGCGAAGGCGGUCCACUGGGCAUCAACUGACGCUGAGGCGCGAAAGCGUGGGUAGCAAACAGG
This 253-nucleotide ribosomal RNA is filed under the name uncultured bacterium. Its description in RNAcentral is "partial 16S ribosomal RNA". It matches the Rfam family "Bacterial small subunit ribosomal RNA", at positions 524 to 776 of the family's 1533-position model. The record is from RNAcentral.